This is a non-coding RNA of Nylanderia fulva, 470 nucleotides long. NCBI's taxonomy places the organism in Eukaryota, Metazoa, Arthropoda, Insecta, Hymenoptera, Formicidae. The record is from RefSeq and is a predicted model, not a curated record.
UUUUAGAUUACCUCUCAUUCAAAGAAAUUGCAGAAUUACAAGAGCUUUGUGGGAAGAAGUUCUCAAACUUUUAAUGGGAAAUUAAGCGCAGCUGGAUGUAAAAGCAAGUUCAAGAAUUUUCACGACACUUAUAGGAGACUUGUGAACGCUGAGAAACUACCAAGUGGAUCUGCUUCCAAAAGCAACAUGAGCAAAUGGAAACAUUAUAAAAGUAUGGAAUUCCUUCGAGAUAGUUGCUUACAGAAAAGUACGAUUUCUAAUAUUAACGAUGGAGACAGCAACAGUAUUAUCGAGAAUGAUAAUGAAUUAGAUUGCCAAGAUGCGAAUAUGUUAGAAGUUACUAAUAAUGAAGAUAGUCAAGAUACGAUUAUAUCAGACAGAGAUCAAGAUCAUGUAAGAAAGAGAAGGCGAGCAGAGUCACAAAACAGCUACUUAGAACGUAUAGCAGACGCUUUAUGCCAACCACUCCU